UACGUAGGGUGCAAGCGUUGUCCGGAAUUACUGGGCGUAAAGAGCUCGUAGGCGGUUUGUCGCGUCGUCUGUGAAAACUCGAGGCUCAACCUCGAGCUUGCAGGCGAUACGGGCAGACUUGAGUACUGCAGGGGAGACUGGAAUUCCUGGUGUAGCGGUGAAAUGCGCAGAUAUCAGGAGGAACACCGGUGGCGAAGGCGGGUCUCUGGGCAGUAACUGACGCUGAGACGCGAAAGCGUGGGGAGCAAACAGG
This 253-nucleotide ribosomal RNA is filed under the name uncultured bacterium. RNAcentral's name for it is "partial 16S ribosomal RNA". It matches the Rfam family "Bacterial small subunit ribosomal RNA", at positions 524 to 776 of the family's 1533-position model. The record is from RNAcentral.